RNAcentral lists this ribosomal RNA (396 nucleotides) under uncultured bacterium. RNAcentral describes it as "bacterial SSU rRNA". It matches the Rfam family "Bacterial small subunit ribosomal RNA", at positions 335 to 716 of the family's 1533-position model. The record is from RNAcentral.
ACUCCUACGGGAGGCAGCAGUGGGGAAUAUUGCACAAUGGGGGGAAACCCUGAUGCAGCCAUGCCGCGUGUGUGAAGAAGGCCUUGGGUUGUAAAGCACUUUCAGUAGGGAGGGAAGGUAGUGUAGUUAACACCUGCAUUAUUUGUACGUUACCUACAGAAGAAGCACCGGCUAACUCCGUGCCAGCAGCCGCGGUAAGUACGGAGGGUGCGAGCGUUAAUCGGAAUUACGUGGGCGUAAAGCGCAUGCAGGCGGCCUGUUAAGUCAGAUGUGAAAGCCCGGGGCUUAACCUCGGAAUUGCAUUUGAAACUGGCAGGCUAGAGUCUUGUAGGAGGGGGUUAGAAUUUCAGGUGUAGGCGGUGAAAUGCGUAGAGAUCUGAAGGAAUACCAGGUGGC